Molecule: unclassified non-coding RNA, 1456 nt
Filed under: Hevea brasiliensis (rubber tree)
Lineage: Eukaryota; Viridiplantae; Streptophyta; Magnoliopsida; Malpighiales; Euphorbiaceae
Source: RNAcentral
UCUCUCUCUCUCUCUCUCUGCUGCAAAACUAGUGAUGAUUUUGAUCUGAUCGGGCCUCGCUACAUCCUCGACUUCUUCGCCUUAGGUGCAGCAUGGCGACUAAAGGGAACUCAGGAGACCAUAAAACUAGGAGUUCAGUUUCAAUUUUCAUUAUAGUUGGGUUAUGCUGUUUCUUCUACCUCUUGGGUGCAUGGCAGCGAAGUGGCUUUGGAAAGGGCGAUAGUAUUGCCAUGGAGAUCACCAAACAGACACAUUGUAGCAUUCUCAACAAUUUGAAUUAUCAAACGAGUGGUGAUGCAGGAAUAGAUGAUGGUUCUAGAGAUGAAGUGAAGGAGAUUAAGCCAUGUGAUAACAAGUAUAUUGACUUCACACCUUGCCAAGAUCAAAUGAGGGCAAUGACAUUUCCUCGAGAUAAUAUGAUCUAUAGGGAGCGACAUUGUCCGCCUGAAAAAGAGAAGCUGCAUUGCCUAAUUCCAGCGCCCAAAGGGUAUGCAAAUCCAUUUCCAUGGCCAAAGAGUCGUGACUAUGUACCCUAUGCAAAUGCUCCUUACAAGAGCUUGACUGUUGAGAAGGCUGUUCAGAAUUGGAUACAAUAUGAGGGUAAUGUAUUUAGGUUCCCUGGUGGUGGAACCCAGUUUCCUCAUGGGGCAGAUGCAUAUAUCAGUCAACUUGCAUCUGUGAUCCCUAUGGACAAUGGGUUGGUUAGAACUGCAUUAGAUACUGGAUGUGGAGUAAGUAAUUAAAUGAGGUUCUUAUUUUCCUUUAAGGUUCUCUGUUCUUCUUCUCUGUCUUGUUUUAAUACACCCAAACUCUUCCAGCUUUGAUGGCACUUCAAUUUUUUCUUGGUUUUUAUGCUGUCUCUUUGUUAAUCAGCAUCGAAUCUUUGUUUAAUUUUUGUACUAUUUUGUAUUUCACUUGAUUAAAGGCUUGAUUGGUGCUUAGGUUGCAAGUUGGGGUGCAUACCUUUUCAAAAAGAAUGUUAUAGCCAUGUCGUUUGCUCCAAGAGACUCUCAUGAAGCACAAGUUCAAUUUGCAUUGGAAAGAGGUGUUCCAGCUGUUAUUGGUGUCCUUGGAACUAUCAAGUUGCCAUAUCCUUCUAGAGCCUUCGACAUGGCUCACUGUUCUCGUUGCCUGAUUCCAUGGGGUUCUAAUGAUGGAAUGUAUAUGACGGAAGUUGAUCGUGUUCUUAGACCUGGUGGUUAUUGGGUGCUUUCUGGUCCUCCCAUCAGUUGGAGGAAUAAUUACCAAGCAUGGCAGCGUACUGAAGAGGAGCUUGAGGAGGAGCAGAAGAAUAUUGAAGAAGUUGCCAAACUUCUUUGCUGGGAAAAGAAGCAUGAGAUAGGUGAAAUAGCCAUCUGGCAGAAAAGAAUAAAUUAUGAUUCUUGCCGUGAGCUAGAUCCUCAGCCUACUAUGUGCCAAUCUACAAACACAGAUGAUGUGUGGUACAAGAAAAUGG